RNAcentral lists this ribosomal RNA (444 nucleotides) under uncultured bacterium. RNAcentral describes it as "SSU rRNA". It matches the Rfam family "Bacterial small subunit ribosomal RNA", at positions 26 to 518 of the family's 1533-position model. The record is from RNAcentral.
AGAGCGAACGCUGGCGGCAGGCCUAACACAUGCAAGUCGAGCGGUCGUAGCAAUACGGCAGCGGCAGACGGGAGAGUAACACGUGGGAACGCGCCCUUCGGUUCGGAAUAACUCAGGGAAACUUGGGCUAAUACCGGAUACGCCCUUACGGGGAAAGAUUUAUUGCCGAAGGAACGGCCCGCGUCCGAUUAGCUUGUUGGUGAGGUAACGGCUCACCAAGGCGACGAUCGGUAGCUGGUCUGAGAGGAUGACCAGCCUCACUGGGACUGAGACACGGCCCAGACUCCUACGGGAGGCAGCAGUGGGGAAUAUUGGACAAUGGCGCAAGCCUGAUCCAGCCAUGCCGCGUGAGUGAUGAAGGCCUUAGGGUUGUAAAGCUCUUUAGCAGGGAGAUAAUGACGGUACCUGCAGAAAAGCCCCGGCUAACUUCGCGCCAGCAGCCGC